Rhododendron vialii is the source of this 1140-nucleotide long non-coding RNA. RefSeq lists it as uncharacterized. The transcript has 2 exons. The record is from RefSeq and is a predicted model, not a curated record. NCBI's taxonomy places the organism in Eukaryota, Viridiplantae, Streptophyta, Magnoliopsida, Ericales, Ericaceae.
AUCUGAAGAGAGGCAGAGAGGUUUAUCCUCUUGCCUCUAAGAAACUAUAGAAACUUAAGUAUAGAGAACAUUCAAAAUAAACACUGGAUAUCCCGACUGACCCUGAGGCUUCGUUCGAUGAAAUCAAAACAAAUUACAGAAACUAGUGUAAGAAUUCAAACAAAAAAGGGGUAGUCUUUCAACUAAAAAAUGAUAAGAACCCUAAUACAAAAAAGGGAGUGAGGAAAAAAAUAGUAAGUAUUACCCAAAUAUGACCUUUCUCAUUUUUUUUGCUGACAAAAUAUCAAUUAAGAUUGCAUAACCAAAAUUAUCUACAGUAUCAUUUCCAAUUGAUAACAUAGUAAACCAAUAGCAGCAACAACAACAAUAACCAUAACAUGGUCAGACAUAUAUGUUUUUGAAACACAUUUAUGUUAGUACAUAAAACAAAAAGUAAAGUUUGAAACGCAGAAUCAAAACCCAUAUUUUGCAAACUUCUAUGUGUUCUGAAAAUAUAUCAGGCCCCGUCCCGUUUUCUUUCUAAACUUUUUUUUUCAAAAAGAAAUAAUUUCAAACUCAAAUAUAACAAAAAUGAAAAAUAAUAUUUCAAUUUUUUUUUGCACCGUUUAAAAGAUUUUAAUGAGAUCUAUCAAACAAGAUCUAUAUUGAUAGGAAAAUUAUUUGCGUAAACACAUAAUUUUUUAGCUUGAAAUUACCUUCCUUUUCUAAAAGUUCUUUUUUUAACAAACUGGAACGCCCCCUCAAUCCGAUCAACAUAAUUUAUGGCGUGGUUAAUAUUCUCGAUGAGAUCUAAAAGUGAACUAUUCCUAUCAUUGAAAUGAGCUCGGAAAGGGCCCACAAACGGGAUGGUCUGUUCAACCCUCUUGAGGGACUGGAGAGGAUCUCUCCAAGUUUAAUCUAGUUCUAAUCAAACGGUUAGAGGGCUACUGUUUGCUCAAAAUCUGGGGACCAACUGUUGCUUUAAUGUUACGGUCUCAUGGCCAGCCCCGAAAUCUUAUAUACUAAGUCCGAAAAGGAAAUAGCAACAGCAUAAACCUAAGAACACAAAUAUCCCCGCAAAAAAAAAAAAAAACCUAACAAAUUAAAACUUCAAACGAGAUAAUCCACAAAAUAUUGACGCAAAAAUAAACAAUGCAAAAA